This 64-nucleotide transfer RNA is filed under the name Neomaskellia andropogonis. Its description in RNAcentral is "tRNA-Met". Lineage: Eukaryota; Metazoa; Arthropoda; Insecta; Hemiptera; Aleyrodidae. The record is from RNAcentral.
AGAAUAGUAAGCUAAAUAUAAGCUAUUGGACUCAUAUUUCAAGUAUAGCAUAAGUUUUAUUCUA